AUACGUAGGGGGCAAGCGUUAUCCGGAAUUACUGGGUGUAAAGGGAGCGUAGGCGGGAGUGCAAGUCAGAUGUGAAAUACAUGGGCUCAACCCAUGGGCUGCUUUGGAAACUGCAUUUCUUGAGUGAAGUAGAGGUAAGCGGAAUUCCUGGUGUAGCGGUGAAACGCGUAGAUAUCAGGAGGAACACCGGUGGCGAAGGCGGCUUACUGGGCUUUUACUGACGCUGAGGCUCGAAAGCGUGGGGAGCAAACAGGAUUAGAUACCCUGGUAGUCCACGCUGUAAACGAUGAUUACUAGGUGUGGGGGGACUGACCCCUUCCGUGCCGCAGUUAACACAAUAAGUAAUCCACCUGGGGAGUACGGCCGCAAGGUCGAAACUCAAAUGAAUUGACGGGG
This 396-nucleotide ribosomal RNA is filed under the name uncultured bacterium. Its description in RNAcentral is "partial 16S ribosomal RNA". It matches the Rfam family "Bacterial small subunit ribosomal RNA", at positions 523 to 918 of the family's 1533-position model. The record is from RNAcentral.